GAGACUGCCGUCCUGUUUAUCCACAGAACAGGUACAGCAUUGGCAGGGGCAUGCUCCCCCACACUGUCCUGCCAAUGUGCCUCAGCCCUGACGUGGAGGUGCCAGGACAAACUGGGCCAUGUUUAUUUGUGGCACCU
This 137-nucleotide small RNA is filed under the name Chrysemys picta bellii (western painted turtle). RNAcentral's name for it is "TUC338 (ENSCPBG00000002704.1)". The record is from RNAcentral. Lineage: Eukaryota; Metazoa; Chordata; Testudines; Emydidae.